GGCAGGCCUAACACAUGCAAGUCGAGCGGUAGCGGGCCUGACCACUCUCGAGUGGUUCAGGCGCCGACGAGCGGCGGACGGGUGCGUAACACGUAGGAAUCUGCCCGGUAGUGGGGGAUAGCCCGGAGAAAUUCGGAUUAAUACCGCAUACGCCCUAAGGGGGAAAGCAGGGGAUCCGUUCUUUUAGGAGAGUGGACCUUGCGCUAUCGGAUGAGCCUGCGUCGGAUUAGCUGGUUGGUGGGGUAAAGGCCUACCAAGGCGACGAUCCGUAGCUGGUCUGAGAGGAUGAUCAGCCACACUGGGACUGAGACACGGCCCAGACUCCUACGGGAGGCAGCAGUGGGGAAUAUUGCACAAUGGGCGAAAGCCUGAUGCAGCCAUGCCGCGUGUGUGAAGAAGGCCCUAGGGUUGUAAAGCACUUUCAGUGGGGAGGAAAGGUCGAAGGUUAAUACCCUUUGGCUGUGACGUUACCCACAGAAGAAGCACCGGCUAACUCCGUGCCAGCAGCCGCGGUAAUACGGAGGGUGCGAGCGUUAAUCGGAAUUACUGGGCGUAAAGCGUGCGUAGGCGGCCAUUUAAGUUGGAUGUGAAAGCCCCGGGCUCAACCUGGGAACUGCAUCCAAAACUGGGUGGCUUGAGUGCGAGAGAGGAGUGUGGAAUUUCCUGUGUAGCGGUGAAAUGCGUAGAUAUAGGAAGGAACACCAGUGGCGAAGGCGACACUCUGGCUUGACACUGACGCUGAGGUACGAAAGCGUGGGGAGCAAACAGGAUUAGAUACCCUGGUAGUCCACGCCGUAAACGAUGUCUACUAGUUGUCGGUGGUCUUGUACUGCUGGUAACGCAGCUAACGCGAUAAGUAGACCGCCUGGGGAGUACGGCC
This 880-nucleotide ribosomal RNA is filed under the name uncultured bacterium. RNAcentral's name for it is "bacterial SSU rRNA". It matches the Rfam family "Bacterial small subunit ribosomal RNA", at positions 41 to 887 of the family's 1533-position model. The record is from RNAcentral.